GACGAACGCUGGCGGCGUGCCUAACACAUGCAAGUCGAACGGAAAGGCCCGGCUUUUGUGCGGUGCUCGAGUGGCGAAGGGGGGAGUAACACGUGAGUAACCUGUACCUGACCGUGGGGUAACUUAAGGAAACUGGGGCUAUUACCGCAUAGGAGCUAUUGCUGCAUGGUGGGCGUUGGUAAGUUUCGGUGGUUGGGGAUUGACUCGCGGCUUAUCAGCUUGUUGGUGGGGUAGUGGAUGACCAAGGCUUUGACGGGUAGCCGGCCUGGGCGGGUGACCUGCCACGCUACGCCUGAGAUGCGACACAGCCUCGAACGGGACGCAACGGAGGAGAGUGUUACACAGUACGCUGGAGGCUGGUGUGGCAACGCCGCGUGCGGGAAGACGUGAUUCGGGUUGUGAACCACUGUCGCCUUUGCCGAGGCGUGAGUGACGGUACCGGGUAAAGAAGCACCGGCUAACUACGUG
RNAcentral lists this ribosomal RNA (468 nucleotides) under uncultured bacterium. Its description in RNAcentral is "partial 16S ribosomal RNA". It matches the Rfam family "Bacterial small subunit ribosomal RNA", at positions 28 to 507 of the family's 1533-position model. The record is from RNAcentral.